UUUUUCGUGAUAAUAAUGGAAUCAUGAUAUGUUAGAGUUGUUGUUGAUUUCAACGUAAAUAAACUAAAUAUGAUUCCAUUAUUAUCAAGAAAAAAG
Molecule: non-coding RNA, 96 nt
Organism: Solanum tuberosum (potato)
Lineage: Eukaryota; Viridiplantae; Streptophyta; Magnoliopsida; Solanales; Solanaceae
Source: RefSeq, marked provisional